UGCCCACUGAUAUAAAUUAAAGGGCUGCAGUAAUUUGACUGUACAAAGGUAGCAUAAUCAUUAGUCAUUUAAUUGAUGACUUGUAUGAAAGAUUGGAUGAAAUAUAAACUGUUUUAAAUUUAAAUUUUAUAAUUUAAUUUUUUAGUUAAAAAGCUAAAAUAUAGUAAAAAGACGAGAAGACCCUAUAGAGUUUAAUUAAAUAUAUAAAUAAAUAUUAUUAUAUUUAAAUUAAAAUUGAAAUUUAUUUUUUAAUUUUGUUGGGGUGAUAGAAAAAUUUAGUUAACUUUUUUUUGUUUUAAACAUAGAUAAAUGAUUAUAUGAUCCAAUUAUUAUUGAUUAAAAGAAAAAAUUACCUUAGGGAUAACAGCGUAAUUUUUUUUUUUAGUUCUUAUAAAAAAAAAAGUUUGCGACCUCGAUGUUGGAUUAAGAUAAAAUUUAAAUGUAGAAGUUUAAAGUUUUGA
This 461-nucleotide ribosomal RNA is filed under the name Toxoproctis croceola. Its description in RNAcentral is "partial large subunit ribosomal RNA". Lineage: Eukaryota; Metazoa; Arthropoda; Insecta; Lepidoptera; Erebidae. The record is from RNAcentral.